UCCCGUGUGGUUCAGUUGGUAGAGCAUGGUGUUUGCAAUGCCAGGGUUGUGGGUUCGAUUCCCACGUGGGAC
Salmo salar (Atlantic salmon) is the source of this 72-nucleotide non-coding RNA. NCBI's taxonomy places the organism in Eukaryota, Metazoa, Chordata, Actinopteri, Salmoniformes, Salmonidae. The record is from Rfam.